GGAUAGGUUGAAAUACAUGUGGGGGAUUAAGAGUAUGAGUAGUGUGAUGAGCACUGAGUAAUAUAUAAAAUCUUUGAAUCACUGUAUUGUACACCUGAACCUAAUAUCACACUGUAUGUUAAUGAUGCUAGAAUUAAAAAA
Long non-coding RNA from Herpailurus yagouaroundi (jaguarundi), 141 nucleotides. RefSeq lists it as uncharacterized. Lineage: Eukaryota; Metazoa; Chordata; Mammalia; Carnivora; Felidae. The record is from RefSeq and is a predicted model, not a curated record. The transcript is spliced from 3 exons.